CCUACGGGAGGCAGCAGUGAGGAAUAUUGGUCAAUGGGCGGAAGCCUGAACCAGCCAAGUCGCGUGAGGGAAUAAGGCCCUACGGGUCGUAAACCUCUUUUGCCGGGGAGCAAGGGCUGGGACGUGUCCCGACCGGGAGAGUACCCGGAGAAAAAGCAUCGGCUAACUCCGUGCCAGCAGCCGCGGUAAUACGGAGGAUGCGAGCGUUAUCCGGAUUUAUUGGGUUUAAAGGGUGCGUAGGCGGGCAUUUAAGCCAGCGGUAAAAUUUCGGGGCUCAACCCCGUCCCGCCGUUGAAACUGGGUGCCUUGAGUGGGCGAGAAGUAUGCGGAAUGCGUGGUGUAGCGGUGAAAUGCAUAGAUAUCACGCAGAACCCCGAUUGCGAAGGCAGCAUACCGGCGCCCAACUGACGCUGAGGCACGAAAGUGCGGGGAUCGAACAGGAUUAGAUACCCGUGUAGUC
Molecule: ribosomal RNA, 460 nt
Filed under: uncultured bacterium
Lineage: Bacteria
Description: partial 16S ribosomal RNA
Rfam family: Bacterial small subunit ribosomal RNA
Source: RNAcentral